UAGUAUGUGGGCCACCAGCACAGCAUUGCUGCUAACAGAGCAGUGUAGGUCCACGUCCGGGAACUGAACCCAGGUUGCAGAAGCAGACGGUACCAAAUUUAGGCACUAGGCCACCAAGGCUGACCUAUAAAUAGCACUUUUUGAGAUGAAUAAAAUAUCUCCAAUAGUGGUGUGCUACAGAAAUAGAAAACAAACAAAUCAAACAAAAAAACCUCUACUUUUUAUUGUUAGGUAAAAUGUGUUGGGGUUGUUUUCUGACAAAUAUCAACCCCUAGAAACAACAGUAUCUAGUCUGAAGUUCUAUAAAGUAAGAAAUUCAAUUAAACUGAAUUACUAUGGGUGCGUUAGAUAUCUUUACUGAGCUUUUCUGCCUACUCUAAGGAAUACCCAAUGCUGUCAAUGACUAAUAAGUUCUAGUUUGAUUUUUCUCCCAUAAGUAAUGUUUCAGGAAAUACAGGUAAAAUGCUAAGAAAAACAGAAAUUUUAUGUCUUUCUGAAUUAUUUGAAUUUCUGACCUUGUUCACAUCCUUCUUUGUGAAACAUUGAGGUAAAUGCCUGCCUUGUGUAGCCUAAAUACAAUACCACAUCUUUCUCAUUACCCUCACCAAUUUCCCCUACUUAACUUUAGAAAUGUAAAAAAAAGAACCACAAAACAAAACAACAGAAAAACCUCCAAUAAUUCUAUUUUUUCUGAGUAGAAAAGAAGAAGCUGGAUGGCAUUAAAGAAUAAAAUGUAACAGCACAAAGAGAAGUGAAAAUCUGCUAAGGAUUUGGUGUAAUGUGCCUGAUUUGGGUUACAGAAUACUAUUUUAGCCUAAAUUGCUCAUCCUGGCUUUCAACACUGAGAAAAGCAAGAAGAAGAAAGAUCAGAUUUUUUUCAUUCUCUUUGGGCCUGUGUCAGGCAAGCAGCUUUAAUAUAGCUAUUGACCAGUAGCAGAACAGAAAUUAUUUUCCUGUACAUGUGAUUAUGAAAUCAAGUGUGGAGUAAAUGCAAACAAACCUGAUAUUAAAAGGUAUAACUUCUAGAAAAUGAAAGUGUGAUUAUUUUUUUAAGCACUCUUUGCAACCUAAUGGAAGUUACCAGAGUGAAUUUUAAAUAGUAUGUUUGAAAUAGCACUUUAUUUGCAGAAAUUCAUUUCAUGCAAAUUUUCCAAACUGUACUUAAAGUAAAGCACAUCAGAGUUAUUAAAUUAUUUGCAUGAUAGCUAGUACAAGGAAAUCCUGGGACUCAGUUUAAUUUCCUUCUACUUCUUUCCAAGCCACAUCCUUUCUCUCACUCUUAUCGAUGAGUUCUCAAGACCCGAAUGCUGAUGCUCUGUAGGGUGGUAAUUGCCAGACGAAGCAUGAAGGUUUAAACAGAAGAGGCGUUAAGUAUGCCAGGGCCAAGCUUAGUGUGACAGCUGCCAGCAUCAUGUGAUUUUAAAAGUUCCAAAAGGCCUCACUCCGCCCCCCCCAAAUUUUUGCCCAUUGGCUUCUACCUCAGAGCCAGAAAUUUCCAUAGUUUCUACUCUUUGACCCAAGGAAGCAGAGACUUUUGCCUAAAUACCAAUAUUAUGCAGGAGAGAUAGCACAGCAAGGUUUAAGCGGAAGGGAAAAGAAUGUACUUACAAAAGUUGUGAGCUUGGCAUAUUAGUGGCAGACUGUGAGAUCCAGGCUAAUUCAAGUGGAAAUUUCAUCUACGAUAAAUUUGUAUGGGUAAAAUGACACAGGUGUAGAGUCAGUAAACUGGCACCUUGGUGAAUAAGAAGCAAAUCAGGGAUAGUUCAGAGUUUUGCCCUGGGAGCAUCUUAAAGGCUUCAUGCAACCUCUUAGUUGAUGAAAAAGAAGACGAUCUGCUUUGCACUCAAACAUUUUGAGAUCAAGGCACAGAAGGGAAGUGGAAUUGUCCAAUAGGCACAUUAAGCGUCUGUAACUUAAGAGAGAAAACAGGACUGGUGAUUUAAGAUAAAAGAAUUAUCCACAGUGAGUUGGUGGAGGAGCAUGAAGAGGUGACAUCACCAGCAAAGUAGGUUAAAGAAAGUAGAACAGUGGACAUAGCUAUGAAGACCAAGAGUAGGCAAUGAGCUAGAAAAGGAGCAAGAGAAGGAUUUGAGGGUGAAAAGGAGAAGCCAGAAGGGUGUAGAUAACUAGUGGAAGGAAAGAAUUCCAAGAAAAAUAUGUGUAGACAACAGUGUCAACUGCCAGAGAGAGGAAGCAUAUUAAAAUGACGCUGGGUAGAGCAAGGUGGAGGGCACUGAUGAACUUUCACUGCAUAGGCUCAGCCAAAAAGUAGGACAGAUAGGCUGUGUGUGAGAAGGAAAUGGAGGCACUAGGCACAAACCACUGAGUGGCCUUUAAAGGAAGUAGAGAACCAAAUGAUAGCUCAAGGAAGGAGCAAUGUGAAGUGAAGAUUUUUCUCAAGGUAGAGGAGAUCUAAAGAGAAAGUGGAUAUUCUCUCCUCCUGGCUCUGAAGAUGUUUGUAAAAAGUGAACGUAAGCAGAUAAGAACUGUUUCAACCACAGAUCCUUCCAGAAAAGGAAUCUGGAGAAAAUUAACUCCUCAUCUAAAGUAACAGAUGUUGGCUUCUCCUCCAGAUACAUUUGUUAAGGAGUGAAGGAUGUUUCUCCAAAUACUUCCCACUCCAUUCCACCCCAUCCCACUCCCACUAUGGGGACACUAUUUGCUUUCUAGCAGUUUCCCACUCACAGGGUCUCAGCUCACUCCUUUUCUGCACCAGGCUGGGUGGUAAGACCCAUUCCCCUCCCUGUUUUCAAAUGAACCAUCUACUUGCCUCUAGACCAGAGUUUCUUAACUUCUGCACUAUUGUCCUGUUGAACCCAUUAGUUUUUUGUUGGGGUGGUGGGAAGGGCUCCUGUGCAUUGUAGGAUGUUUAGUAGCAUCCCCGACCUCUCCACUAGGUGUCAGCAGCAUGCUCUCCUACAGUCCUAACAAUGAAAAAUGUCUUGCCGAAUAUUCUUCCAGGGGCAAAAUACCUCACUCCUUCAUUGAGAAUCACUGCUAUAGACACUUCUCUCCCCUGAUCCUCCCUAAAGGCCAAUACAGACACCCUCUCCCACCCCCCUCCUCCCAUAAUGCCUGUCUCUGAAACAAGCAAAUGACACUUUUUUCUUUCCAAAAAUACUUCACUGAAGGUAAAAACCAGCAAGGCUUAACAAAUAUAAUCCUGACAAAAUUCCAGUUUCAAGAAUAGUAGCAAUGUGGCCAUGCCCCCAGAUUCCAGGAAGUGUGAAGGAAGUGAGGGCUGCCAUUUCCAUGCCUCCUUCCUGGGCUUCCUUCUUAGCCAAGCAUGAGAACUGGCUGCAUCCCAGUUGUGGUGAGACUGGAUGCUGGACCUAUCUCCUGAUUCACAGUCCUGUUGGACACAGAUAGAGGUUUGCAUGGCCAGCAGAUCCGGUAGGUCAGCGUCUUUAUUUCAUUGUCUGAUAUUGGCCACAUGGUCACCCUUUUUGCCAAAAAUCGGUGUAGUUUCUCUAUAGUUUGUUCUUAUUCUGUGUACACACACCUCUCCUUCAAAUAUUCAGAUUGCCCAGGUUUCAGUCCAUCAUUUACUGACCUUGCCUCAUAUUUAGAGACUAAUGGUUCCAAGCCUGGGAUCUUAACCGUUCCCUAGACCGUGGGUGAGGAAUAGCAUUUCCCAUUCAAUUCCAAGUCUUCCCCCUUGGCCUCAGGCGGCCCUCUGCUAACCUGCACUCACUCCUAAGUCUUCCUGGUGGUCUCCAGGGCUCUGGCCGUGUGAAUCUAGCCCCCUCCCCAGUUCCUUUUUUCUCUGCACUUUUCAUUUGCUUAAGACAUCUUUUUAUUUGAAUGCCGAGCCUAGUUUGACAUGUUAGACCUCCAAUAAAUUCUUCUCACAGUCCAAGAAACAUUCUGGGUCCUUAGCUCAUUUGAAGAGAAGAAAUAACAGACAUAUCUUGAGUCCUAUAAAUUAUUAAUACAUUUCUUAUGGAUUACACUAGCUUUGCCUACUUUUCAAAAGCCUUCCUGAGUCAUCAUUUAUGUGCAUUUCUCAUCCCUCCAAGGAAGCGGUUGUUUACCAGGUUAAGCCACUCUACACUGACAGCAACACUAACUGAUAAUUUAGUAGACUUUGGGACACAUCCCUGACCUCCUGACCAACAAAAACAUUAAAAGCUCUUGCUUAUAAACUAAUUGUCCUUUUCUUUUUGGAAAUGUAUUUGCAGAUCUCUUUGGAAUUCUUUCUUUGAAUGGCUUCAUUGGUUGAAAUAUAAAACAAUAGUGAUUGAUCCUAUAAAAAGGAAAGAAGUAUGGACUCCUAUCUUCCUCAUCUUUUUAUCAUAUUGAAGAUGGUUACCAUUUAUCAAAAUCAAUCUAUUCCUUAGGAACACUCUCCAGUUGGCUCCCAGAUCAGUCAACAUGCCUGUAAAUAUUUUGCUUUCAGCCCUCUGCCCUCACAUAGGCACCCAGAGGAACAAAUGCCUAUUUUUCCAACCACUUUCUGGCUAAAUCAUUUAGUCUUUGCUCCAAAAAAUAAACAGACACUUCCCCUAAGGCUUCCAUAAAAAAAUCCUUUCCAAAUCCUACCAAUUCGGUUCUCAAACUGUAUAGACUGACAAAGCCACUGACUCUAGCAUUUCUCUAACUUGCUUUAAAAAAAAGAACAAAAGGCCCCAAAAUGUCAAUACAAGAGCCCAGGAUAUCCAUCACUUUACCAAUGACUGAUAGUACACACACACAAUGAGCCCAGCCCCUCCCUUGAGCCAAGACUCUUGAGAAUCCAAAGAAUGUACACAUUGAAUUGAUCUACUCAUGUCACGGAUAAAACUGACAGAGGAGAGCCAUUAGAUCAUUCUACUCCCUAACCUGCAAGAUGAAGAAUUAUCGUUUACAACCAUAAUCUUUCCCCCAUUAUUGAAAACUCUAUGAUAAAUGGACAUUAACUAUGUAACAGAUAUACCUUGAGUCCUAUAAAUUAUUAAUACAUUUCUGAUGGAUUAUACUAGCUAUAUUAAUAAAUAACAUUAACUCUAACUCUUGGUUUGUAUCCAAACUUUUAAUUUAACUGACCUAGGAAGGUUGAUUGAAAUUCCGUUUGGUGUUAUAAUUUAAAAACAAGUGAGAUGACACCUCUAAGAAUACAUAUGCAUCCACUUUUUUGAGUCAUUUGAAAAGGAUUAUAGAAAUAAAUGAAAUGCACAACAAAAACAGUAGAAGUGAGAACUGGUCCCUGUGGGUGUGUGGGGAUUGAGAAUAAGAGAGGAAGUGAUAAAUUGGGAAAGGAGAACAGGAUGCAUCUCUCUUUAGGCCACAGAAAAUACCAGAGGAAACUGGGGAAGAGUGUAGGAAGGCUUUUCUCCUACUUCUUUCCUCCCACAGGAAAUCACUAAUACUUUCUGAGAAAAGGGAUAAGCCGUCCAGUUUUUAUCCAUUAGUGAAACAGCAAUUUCUAGACUUAAGCAUAUUAGAGAGUACUGUCCUUUAUAAUAACUCAAUAAAUUUCCUCUAAGAAAGAAAAGGCUUGACAGUAAUCCCCAUUGUUUCUAAGGUAAACCUACCCUAUUUUAAAUGCAACUCCAAAAAUGUGACUUCUAAAGAGCAGCAAGCAGAUUAAUACAGAAAAUUCUAAGACCCCACUAAAAACACUCCAGUGUAAUGUAAUCCUUAUCCAGAAUUAAUUGAAGCAAAAUGAGCAGCACAUAGAAAUGUAUGCUUUUUAAGAAGCAUUUUAAGUUUCAAUGUAUGACAUGCCAGCCUUUCUGAGAACCUUUGAUAGAAGCAGCUGAGUGGAGCUAUUUGGUGUCCCCAUUUCCCUCCUGGCAUCCUCCUCUGAAUGUCACCACUAUGGGAGAAGUAGGUCCUGCUCAUAACAGAUCCUGGUCUAGUAUCCUUAAUCCAGAGAGACUCUUUAAGAGGCCAGGUCACUUUCCAUGGAGGAAGAGGCUGGGGCAUCUCCCUUCCACCCUCUCCUCCCCCAUACAGGACCUUACUCCCUGGGCUGUCCCCAGAAUUAACCUGGAAGCCUAGAGAUCAGAGCAGACAGACAGGUUUUGAUUUGGUAAAAAUUCCCAGGAUCAACCCCCAGGCUAACUUCCAUCUCUAGAAUUUAACCAUCCACCAGGUUUCUCCUCAGUCAUUUUCACUAGGUCAUGAUGAAAAACAUUUAGAUCUCUAGAAUAGUCACAGCUUCUGAUUCAGGGGAGGAAAUAAUGGCAUUAAGCAUCAAAAGCUGUUUGCAGAGCUUCUGAUCUCAUCUGCAUUCUAGUAAUAUAUGAUUCUUUACAUAGUUUUGGUUUUUAUAACGACUCCAGAGAACUAUAUAGAUUCUGAUCUGUUGAACCAUUUUGGAAUUAUUAUACAGUCUUUUAUAAUUAUUUAAGGAUCUCUUCCUGUAUUUAAAGGCGUGAAAACAAUAGAGAAAUUACAUUGUUGACUCUCAUGCAAUAGCAUAUAUCCAAUACAAUACCAAGCUGAAAUUUGGGGAUAGGAAGUGUUGGUUUACAUGUGUGUGCUAUAACCUGAAUGAAAUUACCCCUGCAUAAUUAAAAAGAACAUCUAAUUUUUGUUACCUUUCAGAAUGCAAGGCUCUGGAGGAUCUUUCCCUAUUUCUGUUUCAGGAUCUCUACUCUCCACACACUUGCUAAUUUUUUCACCUUGCAUUUUUUCUUGACGUAUGGGAAAGGAAGAGGAAAUUUGGAAACUGACAGGUACAGAGGGAACACAAUGUGAAGACACAGGGAGAAGAAGACCAUCCACAAGCCAAGGAGAGAGUCCUGGAACAGAUCUUUUCCUGGUAACCCUCAGAAAGGAACCAAUUUUGCUGACACUUUGAUCUCAAACUUCAAGUCUCCAGAACUGUGAGAAAAUAAAUUUCUGUUGCUUAAGGCA
This is a long non-coding RNA of Equus caballus (horse), 6843 nucleotides long. RefSeq lists it as uncharacterized. The record is from RefSeq and is a predicted model, not a curated record. Lineage: Eukaryota; Metazoa; Chordata; Mammalia; Perissodactyla; Equidae.